This 462-nucleotide ribosomal RNA is filed under the name Starmerella lactis-condensi. Its description in RNAcentral is "partial large subunit ribosomal RNA". It matches the Rfam family "Eukaryotic large subunit ribosomal RNA", at positions 53 to 526 of the family's 3401-position model. The record is from RNAcentral. Lineage: Eukaryota; Fungi; Ascomycota; Dipodascomycetes; Dipodascales; Trichomonascaceae.
GAGGAAAAGAAACCAACAGGGAUUGCUCUAGUAACGGCGAGUGAACAAGCAAAAGCUCAGUUUUGAAAGCCUACUUUGUAGGCAUUGUAUUCUGAAGCCUAGAUUCUGGGAAACGGUGUUUAAGUCUUCUGGAAAGGAGCGCCACGGAGGGUGAUAGCCCCGUACGGCACUGACCCCAUUGUAGUUUCUAGGCGUGGAGUCGAGUUGUUUGGGAAUGCAGCUCAAAUGGGAGGUAUGCUCCUUCUAAAGCUAAAUAUUUGCGAGAGACCGAUAGCGAACAAGUACUGUGAAGGAAAGAUGAAAAGAACUUUGAAAAGAGAGUGAAAUAGGACGUGAAAUUGUUGAAAUGGAAGGGUAGGCUGCUAACCAUGUAGGACCGUGUCUGAGGGGAAGAUAAAAGCUACGGAAUGUGACUCUUCGGAGUGUUAUAGCCGUGGUCAAUGUUCCCACUUAGGCGCGAGG